UGAGGAAUAUUGCACAAUGGGCGCAAGCCUGAUGCAGCAACGCCGCGUGCGGGACGAAGGCCUUCGGGUCGUAAACCGCUUUUCUGGGGGAAGAGCAAGGACGGUACCUCAGGAAUAAGUCUCGGCUAACUACGUGCCAGCAGCCGCGGUAAAACGUAGGAGGCGAGCGUUAUCCGGAUUUACUGGGCGUAAAGCGCACGCAGGCGGCUCUGUUAGUCGGACGUGAAAGCUCUCGGCUUAACCGGGAGAGGCCGUUCGAUACUGCGGGGCUUGAGGUAGGGAGAGGAAUGCGGAAUUCCCGGUGUAGUGGUGGAAUGCGUAGAUGUCGGGAGGAACACCUGUGGCGAAAGCGGCAUUCUGGCCCUCACCUGACGCUGAGGUGCGAAAGCGUGGGUAGCAAACA
Molecule: ribosomal RNA, 403 nt
Filed under: uncultured bacterium
Lineage: Bacteria
Description: bacterial SSU rRNA
Rfam family: Bacterial small subunit ribosomal RNA
Source: RNAcentral